RNAcentral lists this transfer RNA (69 nucleotides) under Nycticebus coucang insularis. RNAcentral's name for it is "tRNA-Gly". It matches the Rfam family "tRNA". From Rfam's summary of the family: Transfer RNA (tRNA) molecules are approximately 80 nucleotides in length. Their secondary structure includes four short double-helical elements and three loops (D, anti-codon, and T loops). The record is from RNAcentral. Lineage: Eukaryota; Metazoa; Chordata; Mammalia; Primates; Lorisidae.
GCUCUUUUAGUAUAACUAGUACAAUUGACUUCCAAUCAAUAGGAUUUGGUAAAUAACCAAAAGAGAGCA